UAAUUUGAGAGUUUGAUCCUGGCUCAGGACGAACGCUGGCGGCGUGCCUAAUACAUGCAAGUCGAACGAACUCUGGUAUUGAUUGA
Molecule: ribosomal RNA, 86 nt
Filed under: Lactiplantibacillus plantarum
Lineage: Bacteria; Bacillati; Bacillota; Bacilli; Lactobacillales; Lactobacillaceae
Description: partial 16S ribosomal RNA
Rfam family: Bacterial small subunit ribosomal RNA
Source: RNAcentral